This 305-nucleotide ribosomal RNA is filed under the name uncultured bacterium. Its description in RNAcentral is "bacterial SSU rRNA". It matches the Rfam family "Bacterial small subunit ribosomal RNA", at positions 333 to 654 of the family's 1533-position model. The record is from RNAcentral.
CUGUGCCUACGGGAGGCAGCAGUGGGGAAUAUUGCACAAUGGGGGAAACCCUGAUGCAGCGACGCCGCGUGAAGGAAGAAGUAUCUCGGUAUGUAAACUUCUAUCAGCAGGGAAGAAAACAGACGGUACCUGACUAAGAAGCCCCGGCUAACUACGUGCCAGCAGCCGCGGUAAUACGUAGGGGGCAAGCGUUAUCCGGAAUUACUGGGUGUAAAGGGAGCGUAGACGGUGAUGCAAGUCUGGAGUGAAAGGCGGGGGCCCAACCCCCGGACUGCUCUGGAAACUGUGUAACUUGAGUGCAGGAG